This is a transfer RNA of 81 nucleotides. It matches the Rfam family "tRNA". Rfam says of the family: Transfer RNA (tRNA) molecules are approximately 80 nucleotides in length. Their secondary structure includes four short double-helical elements and three loops (D, anti-codon, and T loops). The record is from Rfam.
GGAAAGGUGGCCAUUGGUAGGGCGGGUCGUUUGCUAAACGAUAUAUGUAUAUAUCUAAGAGUUCGAAUCUCUUCUUUUCCG